RNAcentral lists this ribosomal RNA (405 nucleotides) under uncultured bacterium. RNAcentral describes it as "partial 16S ribosomal RNA". It matches the Rfam family "Bacterial small subunit ribosomal RNA", at positions 30 to 526 of the family's 1533-position model. The record is from RNAcentral.
AUUGAACGCUGGCGGCAGGCUUAACACAUGCAAGUCGAACGAGUGGCGGACGGGUGAGUAAUGCUUGGGAAUCUGGCUUAUGGAGGGGGAUAACGACGGGAAACUGUCGCCAAUACCGCGUACUAUAGGAUGAGCCUAAGUGGGAUUAGGUAGUUGGUGGGGUAAUUGCCUACCAAGCCUGUGAUCUCUAGCUGGUCCGAGGGGAUGACCGGCAACACUGGAACUGUGACACGGUCCAGACUCCUACGGGGGGCAGAAGUGGGGAAUAUUGCGCAAUGGGGAGAGUCGAACGCAGCCAUGCCGCGUAGAUGAAGAAGGCCUUCGGGUUGUAAGGUUCUUUCGGUAGUGAGGCGUUAAAUACAGAGGAAGCACCGGCUAACUCCGUGCCAGCAGCCGCGGUAAUAC